Molecule: ribosomal RNA, 451 nt
Filed under: uncultured organism
Description: partial 16S ribosomal RNA
Rfam family: Bacterial small subunit ribosomal RNA
Source: RNAcentral
CGUACACUCCUGCGGGAGGCAGCAGUGGGGAAUAUUGGACAAUGGGCGCAAGCCUGAUCCAGCCAUGCCGCGUGAGUGAUGAAGGCCCUAGGGUUGUAAAGCUCUUUCACCGGUGAAGAUAAUGACGGUAACCGGAGAAGAAGCCCCGGCUAACUUCGUGCCAGCAGCCGCGGUAAUACGAAGGGGGCUAGCGUUGUUCGGAUUUACUGGGCGUAAAGCGCACGUAGGCGGACUAUUAAGUCAGGGGUGAAAUCCCGGGGCUCAACCCCGGAACUGCCUUUGAUACUGGUAGUCUUGAGUUCGAGAGAGGUGAGUGGAAUUCCGAGUGUAGAGGUGAGAUUCGUAGAUAUUCGGAGGAACACCAGUGGCGAAGGCGGCUCACUGGCUCGAUACUGACGCUGAGGUGCGAAAGCGUGGGGAGCAAACAGGAGUAGAUACCCCAGUAGUCCCA